GAAUUUUAGAGGAGUAACAGAUGAUUAUAUCAUGACCCAAACUCGCGAUCGUAUUGCUGCAUCAUUGAUGAGCACAUUUAGAUAAAUUGUUAUCCAAAUGGAUAUUUAUCAUUAUACACUUUUGUUAUAUUAAAUAGUUACUGAUAACUUGAAAUAUUGGUAUGUAAUAUUAAUUAGUUUUAAAAAUGACUAUUGUGAAACAGCAUUACAAAAUCACUUCAGCAAAAAACUUUGCCAAACAGCUUUCUAAAAUCACUUCAGCAAAAUCACUAUUAUAUCAGACUCACCAAACGCUCUACAGCUUUUAACAGAAAACACUUUUCCAAACCAAAAUCACUUUUCAGAAAUCACUUUUUCAGAAGCUAGGCCAAACAAGCUCUUACACUCUUUAAGCAAAAAUUGUAUUCUUUGGGCGAAAUUUACACCAUUUCUCUUUCUCCUCCUCCUUCAAAAAUUUACACUAUUUUGAACUCAUAAGUAAAAUUUAUACCAUUUUACACCAUUUACACCAUUUUGGAAAAGCUCCUUCAAAAAUUUACAUCAUUUACAUCAUUUUGGAAAAGCUCCUUGGCGUCGGCGGCGUAUGUUGACGCGUAUCCCGACGAGGAUGAAGCAUGGGUCUCGUAUAGAGAUAGAGUGCUCAAGCUAGACCGCGGCCUCGAAUAGGGUUGUAAAUGGAUAUGGAUACCCGAAUUUUAUCCGAAUUCAAACCCGAACGGAGCGGAUUUUAUCCGAUGUAAAUGGAUAUGGAUUCGGGUAUGGAUAUAAAAAAAAAAAUUCGACGGAUUCGGGUUUGGGUAUGGAUAUUUUUAAAAAAUCCGAAUCCGAAUCCGAAUCCGAACCCGAACCCGAACCUGAACCCGACCCGAACUCGAACCCGACACGAACUCGACACGAACUCGAACAAAUUUAAUAUGAUAUAAUAUAUAAAAAAAAUUCAAGCCAUUAGAUCUGAAUUUAAAGGCCAAAAAAAUACUUACACUUUUAUAAUCUAAACCAAAAUACAUAUAUCUUUAUAACCCAAACCCUAAUAUUAAAAAAUCAAAACCGUCCCAUUUCCCAAAACCUAAUAGUUAAAAGAAGAUAACUACUUCAAAAUCUUUCGAUUUUCCAAACUCUCUCCAUCUCCAAACCCUAAUAGUUAAAACCUUAAAAGACACUUGUGUAGUCUCUUGUUCAUUCUUCUCCAAGA
RNAcentral lists this long non-coding RNA (1192 nucleotides) under Ananas comosus (pineapple). Its description in RNAcentral is "long non-coding RNA (ACOM_LNC024643)". The record is from RNAcentral. Lineage: Eukaryota; Viridiplantae; Streptophyta; Magnoliopsida; Poales; Bromeliaceae.